RNAcentral lists this ribosomal RNA (492 nucleotides) under uncultured bacterium. RNAcentral describes it as "partial 16S ribosomal RNA". It matches the Rfam family "Bacterial small subunit ribosomal RNA", at positions 29 to 507 of the family's 1533-position model. The record is from RNAcentral.
AGUGAACGCUGGCGGUAGGCCUAACACAUGCAAGUCGAACGGCAGCACAGUAAGAUCUUGCUCUUACGGGUGGCGAGUGGCGGACGGGUGAGGAAUACAUCGGAAUCUACUUUUUCGUGGGUGAUAACGGAGGGAAACUGACGCUAAUACCGCAUACGACCUACGGGUGAAAGCAGUGGAUCUUCGGACCUUUCGCGAUUGAAUGAGCCGAUGUCGGAUUAGCUAGUUGGCGGGGUAAAGGCCCACCAAGGCGACGAUCCGUAGCUGAUCUGAGAGGAUGAUCAGCCACACUGGAACUGAGACACGGUCCAGACUCCUACGGGAGGCAGCAGUGGGGAAUAUUGGACAAUGGGCGCAAGCCUGAUCCAGCCAUACCGCGUGGGUGAAGAAGGUCUUCGGGUUGUAAAGCCCUUUUGUUGGGAAAGAAAAACAGCAGGUUAAUCCCCCGCUGUUCUGACGGUACCCAAAGAAUAAGCACCGGCUAACUUCGUG